GUUACAGGUGCUGCCGUGGUCACCUUUUUUUGAGUGUGUGUUUGUUUUAAAUGUGGGGGAUUUGAACUCAGGUCCUCGUGCUAGCUCAGGAAGUGCUGUUACCCACCCAGACAUCUUCCCAGCCUGAGUGGGUUUCCCAACUCCCAUUCCCUACCCCGACCCUGACUUUAUAUCCAGGCUGUUCUAAAACUUCAUGUAUCUUCACAGAACUUGAACCCAGAAUGGUCCUCUUGCCACACACCUUGAGACACCAGCCACCCAUACCUAGGGCUACGUAAGACCCUGCUUUAACUUUCCUCUCAAAAUACGUAUGGAGGGGCGCAUGCACAGAGGUCUGAGACACUCUGUAGGAGUAAACAGGGUUUUAGCCUCUCGGAGUUUGGCUUUGCCUGUGGGCCAUACUUGUUUGUUUACUUCUGAGGGAAGGGCGUUUGAGACAGUUCACUGUGUAGUCUAGGCUGACCUAUUUGGGACAGGAGCUCCUUGUGUAGUCCAGGCUGGCCUUGAGCUAGAAAUUUUUUUCCCCUUAUCAUCCCAAGUGCUGGGAUUCCAGGUCUGUACUACCAUGCACACCCUGAAAAUUGUUUUUAAAAACUUAUCUCUAAUCUUUGUGUAGGUGUGAGUGCCCACACAUGUGUCUGGGGCCCUCAGAGGCCAGAGGAGAGCGUCAGGUUCUCUGAACUGGAGUUACGGGAGCUUGGAAUCAGCCGUGUGGUGCUGAGUUCUCGCCCCAGUCCUGUGCAAGAGCAGCCAGUGCGCUUAACCGCUGGAUCCUCUCUCCACACCCCUGACAUUUUUCUUUUUUGAGUCAAAGUUUAAUAAUCUUUUUUUAAUGCUUGGUGUUUGCUGUCACUAGAAAGUCCUUCCCAACCCCCAGGGCGUGAGGGAUUCACAAUAUUCUGGUGCCUACUUCGUAUGUCUUUGAGCUAGAGUCUUACCAUAUAGUCCAUUGCUGAUCUCCAGCUCGAGAGCCUCUUUGCCUUGGCCUCCUCCAUACCUGGAUUAUAGUCAUAUAGCACCUCACUUGGCUCAUUUCAACUUGGGGUGUGUGUGUAUGUGUGUGUGUAUGUUGUUGUUGUUCAGCUUGGGGUGUGGUGUGUGUGUAUGUGUGUAUGUUGUUGUUGUUGAUGUUGAAAUCAAUGAAAGCCUUAACCAGGUUCGUGGUGCACACCAGCACUUGGGAAACAGAGGCAGAUAGAUUUAUUUCAUUGAGUUCAAGCAAGGGUAGCCUUUUCUACAGAGUGAAUUCUAGGCUGCAAGGGCUACAUGAUGAGAUCCUGGUCUCAAAAACAAAACAAAACAAAACAACCAAGUCAGCUAAGAGCCUUUUGCAUACCAGAGUACUCGCUCUAGGGCUGGUGAGAUGGCUCAGUGGGUUAGAGCACCCGACUGCUCUUCCAAAGGUCCGGAGUUCAAAUCCCACAACCAUCCAUUAAGGAGAUCUGACUCCCUCUUCUGGAGUGUCUGAAGACAGCUACAGUGUACUUACACAUAAUAAAUAAAUAAAUCU
RNAcentral lists this long non-coding RNA (1510 nucleotides) under Mus musculus (house mouse). Its description in RNAcentral is "long non-coding RNA chr5:143559340-143560850". The record is from RNAcentral. Lineage: Eukaryota; Metazoa; Chordata; Mammalia; Rodentia; Muridae.